UGCGGAGUAGCUCAGUCAGCAGAGCAUCGGGCUCAUAACCCGACCGUCGAGGAUGCGAGCGCCUCCUCCGCAACCA
Molecule: transfer RNA, 76 nt
Filed under: Variovorax sp.
Lineage: Bacteria; Pseudomonadati; Pseudomonadota; Betaproteobacteria; Burkholderiales; Comamonadaceae
Description: tRNA-Met
Rfam family: tRNA
About the family: Transfer RNA (tRNA) molecules are approximately 80 nucleotides in length. Their secondary structure includes four short double-helical elements and three loops (D, anti-codon, and T loops). Further hydrogen bonds mediate the characteristic L-shaped molecular structure. tRNAs have two regions of fundamental functional importance: the anti-codon, which is responsible for specific mRNA codon recognition, and the 3' end, to which the tRNAs corresponding amino acid is attached (by aminoacyl-tRNA synthetases). tRNAs cope with the degeneracy of the genetic code in two manners: having more than one tRNA (with a specific anti-codon) for a particular amino acid; and 'wobble' base-pairing, i.e. permitting non-standard base-pairing at the 3rd anti-codon position.
Source: RNAcentral